This is a non-coding RNA of Arachis ipaensis, 940 nucleotides long. NCBI's taxonomy places the organism in Eukaryota, Viridiplantae, Streptophyta, Magnoliopsida, Fabales, Fabaceae. The record is from RefSeq and is a predicted model, not a curated record.
AGGUAUGUCAAAUUUUAUAUAUGUAGGGACCAAAUCCAGUUUCAAGUGCACAAGGAAGAACAUAAGGAAAUUCAGAUUUCUUCAAGGACUUGAAACAGAUUCAGUAACUGUGAAAAAAAAUCAGACAAGCGAUUGACAACCAAACUGAAGUUACUGUACAACUCAUUAAUUAUACAAAGACCGGUAAGCAAGUCUAAUGUUUCUGCACAGAAAACUACUUUAAUAGGCAAAGUUAAUAUAAAAUGAUAGGAAAUGUUAGCAAUUUUUUCCCUUAUUAGCACUAUUUAGUUCAUUAAAAGGAAACAAAAUACUAUGAAGCUCGGUAGUGCUACAGUUAUUAUUCCUAUUAUCUUUAACCUGCAAUAACUGAUCAAACGAUGCUGCUUUGUUAUCAAAACAUUUUGUACUAUCCUGAAUGGAGGAGGAGCUAUUUCAGUAGCUCUUGACUUGAAUCAAAAUGCUGCCAAGGUAGCUGCGGCUUUGGAAACUGCUGCAUUCUCCAAAAUCCUGCACUUGUUCUUACUCCAGUUAUCCCAAGAGUCAACUGAAGGCUAAGUGGGAAGAGUAGAAGAAAUUGCUUGAGAAGGCAAGAAAUGACGCUGAGAAGAAAUAUGAUGAAAUAAAUGAGCAGAAUAAAAUACUUCAAAGCCAUCUUGAAGCUUUGCAUAUUCGGAAGUCAAAGAAGGAGCGCAAUGCUGCUGGAAUAUCAUUUGGAAGUAGUAGUGCAGAUACAUUUGGUGAUGUUGGUCUUCAAACUGUGAUGACUUAUCUCCGAAAUUCAAAAGAAAUUGUAAAUACUUGUCAUGUGCAGCAAAUUUGUUUUGCUUGUAUAUUUGUAUAUUAAUUUUAAGUUCUCUACUUUCACAGUCAGAAAUAGAAGUGUCAGUUUUGAUAUUAUUAGUAGUAAAUUCUAAGUGAUAUUAUGGUUAUUUUGAUAUUA